GAUGAAGAACGCAGCGAAAUGUGAUACUUGGUGUGAAUUGCAGAAUCCCGUGAACCAUCGAGUCUUUGAACGCAAGUUGCGCCCGAAGCCAUUAGGCCGAGGGCACGCCUGCCUGGGCGUCACACGUCGUUGCCCCCCCCAUCUACUCCUUCGGGAUUGCGGGGGGCGGAUGAUGGCCUCCCGUGCGCCUCGCCGCGCGGUUGGAAUAAAUGCCAAGUCCUCGGCGACGCACGCCACGACAAUCGGUGGUUGCGAAACCUCGGUUGCCCGUCGUGUGCGGUCGUCGCGCAUCGAGGGCUCGAAAAAAUUGCCGAGUUCCGGCUCGGCUUUCAACGCGACCCCAGGUCAGGCGGGGUUACCCGCUGAAUUUAAGCAUAUCAAUAAGCGGAGGA
RNAcentral lists this unclassified non-coding RNA (392 nucleotides) under soil metagenome. RNAcentral's name for it is "partial contains 5.8S ribosomal RNA, internal transcribed spacer 2, and large subunit ribosomal RNA". The stretch from base 1 to 122 matches the Rfam family "5.8S ribosomal RNA", at positions 35 to 154 of the family's 154-position model. The record is from RNAcentral.